Molecule: ribosomal RNA, 301 nt
Filed under: uncultured bacterium
Lineage: Bacteria
Description: partial 16S ribosomal RNA
Rfam family: Bacterial small subunit ribosomal RNA
Source: RNAcentral
CAGCCGCCGCGGUAAUACGGAGGGUGCAAGCGUUAUCCGGAUUCACUGGGUUUAAAGGGUGCGUAGGCGGAUCUGUAAGUCAGUGGUGAAAUCUCCAGGCUUAACCUGGAAACUGCCGUUGAUACUAUAGGUCUUGAAUUUUGUGGAGGUUAGCGGAAUAUGUCAUGUAGCGGUGAAAUGCAUAGAUAUGACAUAGAACACCAAUUGCGAAGGCAGCUGGCUACACAACUAUUGACGCUGAGGCACGAAAGCGUGGGGAUCAAACAGGAUUAGAUACCCCCGUAGUCCCUGUCUCUUAUAA